GUUAUGAACCCACAGGAGAUACUAGAGGGUACUAGACGCAGUGCACGUGCCAUACACCCUCCCAAAUAUUUGGAGAAUUUCGUGGUCCCCAAUCUAAAGAAAUGACAAGCUUUUCUGCUUUUAUGAAAGAGAUCAUGAGGACAAAAGACUGUAGUAUACUGAUCAAUAUGGUAGCGCUUAGCCAUGCCCAAUUGCCGAUACUUGUUCCAAAAGUCAGGCACAACCGCACAACAGAAGAACUUGUCUUCGAAAUUUCUUAUGACUUGCAGCUAGGUCAUAUCAGAGGAAUAAAAAGAGGGUAGAGGGAGCGCGGUUAUGGAUUCGAUGACCUGCAUGAGCAGAUAUAGUCAACUUGGUCUCUAGUUCACAACUGUUUGUUGAAUCGGAGCAGGAGUAAUGCGUCAUCAGAGGUCUUAUUGUCAUAUGGUUUUUGCUUCUCUGCUGAGCAAACAAAAUCAAUAGCCCAUCCAAUGACCUCCUCUUGAAGGUUGCACUCCUCGUAAGCCCAUUCCACAAUUCUCUAAAUCGACCCCCCUAUAGCUAGACUUGUGAUAUCUUGUUGAGCAUUUUCCCUUGAAUUCUAGUAAAGCUUGGCAUUUGCGGUUAUGGUAUCGGAAGUUCCUUUAAGCAGUGUUCAGGCAUAACAUAUACAACAACCAAAUUUGUACGGGAAAAAGCAAAUGGAGGUUGCAGUACCGGAUUUAUCUUGUGCUCUUAUAUUUGGGAUUUGUUGCAAGUCUUCUACUAGAUUAAAUUCCCAUGCUCCAGGUGGUUCAAACUUAAUAUUCUGAUUAUUCAAGGAUCAUUUUAAUUACCUGUUUUUCCAUAUCCCUAAAUAAGUGUUCAAAAAUGUGUUUUGGGAUAUUUAUAUCGAAGUAUGUGUUGAAGAUUCAAGGGGAUGCUUUUUGUGGUGUUUUUCCAUGGGUUUCAAGUAGCUUGACAACAGGGAAUUUGACAAGAUUGGUGGCCCUUUCUCUGCUAUGUUUAUUUCCUUUUCUGAGCAGAAGAAACCAACAGGCCUUCUUUUGGCUGUAGGCUGUGAUGAUCUCUAAUCUUCAAUUCGCCAAAACCCCGUAGAAGGCUGUGAUCAUCUUUCUUUUCUUGUUUUCAAUUUCUCCAAGCUGACUUGUUUGGACUGAGGUGUAGUUGUAUAUUCUGAGAAAGUUCUUAGGGACAAUAGCAAAAUCUUAUUUGCUUACUGGCGAUUGAACGCAAUGACGUGCUGAAGUUGUUUGGCAUGCCUAAGUUAUUUUUUUUAAUCUCGUUUCAUAGUUUUAGCUGAUUUGGGUGGCUUAUAUGGGUUCUA
Molecule: non-coding RNA, 1306 nt
Organism: Nicotiana tabacum (common tobacco)
Lineage: Eukaryota; Viridiplantae; Streptophyta; Magnoliopsida; Solanales; Solanaceae
Source: RefSeq, a predicted model, not a curated record